GAUGAACGCUGGCGGCGUGCCUAAUACAUGCAAGUCGAGCGAACGGACGAGAAGCUUGCUUCUCUGAUGUUAGCGGCGGACGGGUGAGUAACACGUGGAUAACCUACCUAUAAGACUGGGAUAACUUCGGGAAACCGGAGCUAAUACCGGAUAAUAUUUUGAACCGCAUGGUUCAAAAGUGAAAGACGGUCUUGCUGUCACUUAUAGAUGGAUCCGCGCUGCAUUAGCUAGUUGGUAAGGUAACGGCUUACCAAGGCAACGAUGCAUAGCCGACCUGAGAGGGUGAUCGGCCACACUGGAACUGAGACACGGUCCAGCCUCCUACGGGAGGCAGCAGUAGGGAAUCUUCCGCAAUGGGCGAAAGCCUGACGGAGCAACGCCGCGUGAGUGAUGAAGGUCUUCGGAUCGUAAAACUCUGUUAUUAGGGAAGAACAUAUGUGUAAGUAACUGUGCACAUCUUGACGGUACCUAAUCAGAAAGCCACGGCUAACUACGUG
Molecule: ribosomal RNA, 497 nt
Filed under: uncultured bacterium
Lineage: Bacteria
Description: partial 16S ribosomal RNA
Rfam family: Bacterial small subunit ribosomal RNA
Source: RNAcentral